Molecule: ribosomal RNA, 253 nt
Filed under: uncultured bacterium
Lineage: Bacteria
Description: partial 16S ribosomal RNA
Rfam family: Bacterial small subunit ribosomal RNA
Source: RNAcentral
UACGAAGGGGGCUAGCGUUGUUCGGAAUUACUGGGCGUAAAGCGCACGUAGGCGGAUACUUAAGUUAGGGGUGAAAUCCCAGAGCUCAACUCUGGAACUGCCUUUAAUACUGGGUAUCUCGAGUCCGGAAGAGGUGAGUGGAAUUCCGAGUGUAGAGGUGAAAUUCGUAGAUAUUCGGAGGAACACCAACGGCGAAGGCAGCACUCUGGGCUGGAACUGACGCUGAGGAGCGAAAGCGUGGGUAGCAAACAGG